CGAGGAUCUUCGGCAAUGGGCGCAAGCCUGACCGAGCGACGCCGCGUGUGCGAUGAAGGCCUUCGGGUUGUAAAGCACUGUCGAGGGGGAUAAAGCCGAAAGGUUGAUAGAUCCCUGGAGGAAGCACGGGCUAAGUUCGUGCCAGCAGCCGCGGUAAGACGAACCGUGCAAACGUUAUUCGGAAUCACUGGGCUUAAAGGGCGCGUAGGCGGGUUCGCAAGUCUGUGGUGAAAUCCCCCGGCUCAACCGGGGAACUGCCGUGGAUACUGCGAAUCUCGAGGGGUGUAGGGGCAUGCGGAACUCAGGGUGGAGCGGUGAAAUGCGUAGAUAUCCUGAGGAACGCCGGUGGCGAAAGCGGCGUGCUGGACACCUUCUGACGCUGAGGCGCGAAAGCCAGGGGAGCAAACGGGAUUAGAUACCCCGGUAGUCCUGGCCCUAAACGAUGGGUACUAGAUUGUGGACUGGACAUGGGUUCACAGUCGAAGCAAAAGUGAUAAGUACCCCGCCUGGGGAGUAUGGUCGCAAGGCUG
This 530-nucleotide ribosomal RNA is filed under the name uncultured bacterium. Its description in RNAcentral is "bacterial SSU rRNA". It matches the Rfam family "Bacterial small subunit ribosomal RNA", at positions 356 to 896 of the family's 1533-position model. The record is from RNAcentral.